This 232-nucleotide ribosomal RNA is filed under the name uncultured bacterium. RNAcentral's name for it is "partial 16S ribosomal RNA". It matches the Rfam family "Bacterial small subunit ribosomal RNA", at positions 99 to 334 of the family's 1533-position model. The record is from RNAcentral.
CGGACGGGUGAGUAAUGUAUGGGGAUCUGCCUGAUGGCGGGGGAUAACUACUGGAAACGGUAGCUAAUACCGCAUAAUGUCUACGGACCAAAGCGGGGGACCUCCGGGCCUCGCGCCAUCAGAUGAACCCAUAUGGGGUUAGCUAGUAGGUGAGGUAACGGCUUACCUAGGCGACGAUCCCUAGCUGGUCUGAGAGGAUGAUCAGCCACACUGGGACUGAGACACGGUCCAG